This 271-nucleotide unclassified non-coding RNA is filed under the name air metagenome. RNAcentral's name for it is "partial contains small subunit ribosomal RNA, internal transcribed spacer 1, and 5.8S ribosomal RNA". The stretch from base 1 to 46 matches the Rfam family "Eukaryotic small subunit ribosomal RNA", at positions 1786 to 1831 of the family's 1831-position model. The record is from RNAcentral.
AAGUCGUAACAAGGUUUCCGUAGGUGAACCUGCGGAAGGAUCAUUACCGAGUUAGGGUACUCUUCGUGCCCGACCUCCAACCCUUUGUCUACCUGACCAGAUGUUGCUUCGGCAGGCCCGCCGCCCCGCAAGGGGUGGCCGCCGGGGGUCCUUACCGGCCCCGGGUCCGUGCCUGUCGAUGGCCCUUCUAAAACUCUUGCUUAAAACGUGUCGUCUGAGUAAAACAAACAAAAUAAAAACAAAACUUUCAACAACGGAUCUCUUGGUUCUG